CCUGUUUCAGGUAGCUGGUUUAACAUACUCUGAGUUUAAUCCUGCGCUCUGAGUUGGUUGAUUCAGAGUUCAGGGUUGAAAAGCAACUCUGGGUUUUCGGUUUCAGAACAGGUGAUCAGCGUUGAGUUAAUCAACUCUGAGUGUGUUCACGCUGGGUUGGGGGCGUGCCUGUUGACUAUAAAGAGCCAUCAUCAAUGGAUCUCUGAUAACAUGAUCAAUAUGGACCAAAAACGUAGAUCCAGUUACUUUUCACCCACGGAAUUGGAAAUAUUAAUGCACGCAUAUGCCGAGCAGGAACACAUUUUCACCAAAAAAAGCAAUACCGCUGCGGCAGCGAGAGCACGAGAGAGAGCUUGGCAGGAAAUAGCCAAUGCGAACAACCCGAGUUGCCCCAAGAGGACUUGGCAGCAAAUGAAAAUGAAGUAUAAAAAUAUAGUUCAAACAGCAAAUCGAAAAAAAGCAGAGGCCCGGAAGACUGGAGGGGGUCCACCACCUGCAGCCCUCACAGUGGCUGAGGAGAUGGCCCUCAGCCAACAGAGUAUGCGUCCUGUGGCUGAGGGCAUCCCUGGAGGGAGCUCCUCUGAUCCCCCCCACCCCCCAGGAUAGAAGUGCCUUUAUCAGAGUUACUGAUGGCGUCAUCGCCCUACUUGAACCAGAUGCCCUCACCAACCUCCAUGCAAUUGUAACAAUUCAAAGGAUGCUUUGGAGAUCCAAAUUUUGGAACAUAAGUUAAAGGAAAUAAAGAAAUCCUC
Molecule: long non-coding RNA, 752 nt
Organism: Gadus chalcogrammus (walleye pollock)
Lineage: Eukaryota; Metazoa; Chordata; Actinopteri; Gadiformes; Gadidae
Exons: 5
Source: RefSeq, a predicted model, not a curated record